RNAcentral lists this ribosomal RNA (436 nucleotides) under uncultured bacterium. Its description in RNAcentral is "partial 16S ribosomal RNA". It matches the Rfam family "Bacterial small subunit ribosomal RNA", at positions 341 to 792 of the family's 1533-position model. The record is from RNAcentral.
ACGGAAGGCAGCAGUGGGGAAUAUUGGGCAAUGGGCGAAAGCCUGACCCAGCAACGCCGCGUGAGGGAAGAAGGGUUUCGGCUCGUAAACCUCUGUCCUAUGGGACGAAGGAAUGACGGUACCAUAGGAGGAAGCCCCGGCUAACUACGUGCCAGCAGCCGCGGUAAUACGUAGGGGGCGAGCGUUGUCCGGAAUGAUUGGGCGUAAAGGGCGUGUAGGCGGCCUGUUAAGUCUGGAGUGAAAGUCCCGCUUUCAAGGUGGGAAUUGCUUUGGAUACUGAUGGGCUUGAGUGCAGGAGAGGAAAGCGGAAUUACCGGUGUAGCGGUGAAAUGCGUAGAGAUUGGGAGGAACACCAGUGGCGAAGGCGACUAACUGGACUGUAACUGACGCUGAGGCGCGAAAGUGUGGGGAGCAAACAGGAUUAGAUACCCUGGUA